RNAcentral lists this microRNA precursor (92 nucleotides) under Canis lupus familiaris (dog). RNAcentral describes it as "mir-8799 microRNA precursor family". It matches the Rfam family "mir-8799 microRNA precursor family". Lineage: Eukaryota; Metazoa; Chordata; Mammalia; Carnivora; Canidae. The record is from Rfam by way of RNAcentral. RNAcentral also lists the same sequence under 1 other name.
GGGGGGUAGCGUGGGAUCUUGGGCCGUCCCAGGCGCCCUGUGCUCCUGGUACCUGUGCUGUUGGAUUUGCGCUCCUGGUCCCGCAGCCCCUU